Molecule: ribosomal RNA, 407 nt
Filed under: uncultured bacterium
Lineage: Bacteria
Description: partial 16S ribosomal RNA
Rfam family: Bacterial small subunit ribosomal RNA
Source: RNAcentral
AUUGAACGCUGGCGGCAGGCCUAACACAUGCAAGUCGAGCGGAGCGGCGGACGGACGAGUAAUGCCUAGGUAUCUGCCUGGUAGUGGGGGUUAACGUCCGGAAACGGGCGCUAAUACCGCAUACUCUCAGAUGAGCCUAGGCCGGAUUAGCUAGUUGGUGGGGUAAAGGCCUACCAAGGCGACGAUCCGUAACUGGUCUGAGAGGAUGAUCAGUCACACUGGAACUGAGACGCGGUCCAGAGUCCUACGGUAGGCAGCAGUGGGGAAUAUGGGACAAUGGGCGAAAGCCUGAUCCAGCCAUGCCGCGGGUGUGAAGAAGGUCUUCGGAUGGUAAAGCACGUUAAGUUGGGAGGCGUUACCAACAGAAGAAGCACCGGCUAACUACGUGCCAGCCGCCGCGGUAAUUC